This 194-nucleotide ribosomal RNA is filed under the name uncultured bacterium. RNAcentral describes it as "partial 16S ribosomal RNA". It matches the Rfam family "Bacterial small subunit ribosomal RNA", at positions 1308 to 1500 of the family's 1533-position model. The record is from RNAcentral.
AAAUUCGCCUUCAUGAAGCCGGAAUUGCUAGUAAUGGCAGGUCAGCAUACUGCCGUGAAUACGUUCCCGGGCCUUGUACACACCGCCCGUCACACCAUGAGAGUUGGGGAUACCCGAAGCCUGUGAGCUAACUAUUUAUAGGAGCAGCAGUCGAAGGUAGAAUCAAUGAUUGGGUGAAGUCGUAACAAGGUAUC